CACUUGGAAGAACCACUGAGAAUCCGCCUCUUGACAUCUCUCCAGCGACUCAUCUGUGGUCCUGAAGAGAGGGUCCUCCAAGAAAGGCUCCACAUCCGGGGUCAGAAUACGGACCAACUCAUCAGCUUUGUCAUUCAUCUUAGACUUAUGAACCAAAGCAUCCACUAGCCUUUCGUUAGUGAUGGGCAUGCCCUCGUAUAGCUCCCUCCUCCCAAAAUAGAGGGCAAUAGCAUCUGGUCCGUUCUGGAUUGUGUUCUUGGGCAGGAUCACCGAUGGCUUUGGGAUGACCAUGGAGGACCCCAUGAGGAAGAACCCUUGGUUAUCGGUGGAAAAGCCAGCAAGAUCCUUGACUCUGUAGGCUGUGUUGCCAUUGCCAUUGUAAAAGACUAUAGAGUAGCCAUCCAAAGGGGUCCGCUGGCCGCUUGUGUGAUACAAUUCCACAUACUCCAAGAUGUCUUCUCCCGGAUUAUCUGCAUUAACCUCAUUAAUCAGGAGUGUGUGCUCCGCCUUCUGUUUCUCAGGGUUCUUAGAGAAGUUCAGAGAAUCCACCUCAUGUAGCAAGAUGCACGCAUGCAACAGAGAUGCAAUUAAAAGGCCAGGCCCCAUGGCCACAAAGACUAACAGCUCUCCAGGGGACAGAAGGGUUAGGUCCACUUUCCAAGAGCACUAAGCAGGACAGAACAGAAAACUUCAAGAAGCAGCAACUCUCUCUCUCUCAGUCGUGACCAGCUGUGGGUUCAACCAUCCUGAAUCCAAAGUUUAGAGGAAGGAAAAACACAAAGGUGGUGGCUAGUAUAGGCAUUUUUCUACACCUUACUUGGCUGGAGAACUGCACUGCAAAACUCGGAGAAGUGCACGCUUCGAAGGAGAACUGCAUUUCGGUUCGCAUACUAUUUCAGAAACAGCAAAUUAGCCUGGCACUGCAGUGGGGAAGACUGAAGGGGCCACAGGCCACUACCAUCCCUGAAGCACAUUUCUGGAAGGAGAGGGUGUGCUCCUUCCGCAGCAUUGGUCCUCAAACAAUUGAAGAGGCAUUGCCGCGUGGCUCAGACUGGCACUUUUAAAAAUGGUGAACUCAAUUAAGGUUUUUAAAAAGAGAAAGAGAGCGUGGAAGAAAAGAACCUGCUUAUGUGGUGUGAUUCAAACUGCUCUUUUCACUUAGCCUCUUGUGGGUAGCACAACCCACUGAACAUUUUGGAAACCUGUAACUGAAAAAAGUGGAUAAGAGAAGAAUCAACUCAUUUGAAAUGUGGUGUUGGAAGAGAGCUUUGUGCAUACAAUGGACUGCAAAAAAGAAAAAUAAUUGGGUGUUAGAACAAAUUAAACCAGAACAAUCACUAUAACUGAGGUUAUCAUACUUUGGACACAUCGUGAGAAGACAUGAUUCACUAGAAAAUACCAUAAUGCUGGGAAAAAUAGAAGGGAGUAGGAGAAGAGGAAGGCCAAACAAGAGAUGGGUUGAUUCCAUAAAGGAAGCCACAGACCCAAACUUACAAGAUGUGAACAGGGUGGCUUAUAACAGAUGCUCUUGGAGGUCGCUGAUUCAUAGGGUUGCCAUAAGUCAAAAAUGACAUAAAGGCAUGAAACAACAACAAAACUGCAAAGGGUACGUUUUCCCCAACACCUAUAAAACCACACUUAAACACUUCAGAUUUUUCUGCAUUUUUUUGGGGGGGGGUGCACACCAUUUACGCCUAGAAUUCCCUAAUGUUAUUUAACAAAGCUGCCUUGGGGUAUUUAAAUGAUAUGCAUGAGCUACUAAUAAAGAAGUCCAUAACGCAGGUCUUACCCCUGCCUUAGACAAGCAUCUCUCUCUCUGCCUAAGUCCUCAACUUUGGGAUAAUUA
Rhineura floridana is the source of this 1846-nucleotide long non-coding RNA. RefSeq lists it as uncharacterized. The record is from RefSeq and is a predicted model, not a curated record. The transcript has 3 exons. Lineage: Eukaryota; Metazoa; Chordata; Lepidosauria; Squamata; Rhineuridae.